Long non-coding RNA from Pistacia vera, 292 nucleotides. RefSeq lists it as uncharacterized. The transcript has 2 exons. NCBI's taxonomy places the organism in Eukaryota, Viridiplantae, Streptophyta, Magnoliopsida, Sapindales, Anacardiaceae. The record is from RefSeq and is a predicted model, not a curated record.
CUGUGCUUCACAUUUUCUUGACAUGGAUCAAUCUCUGAUAUAUCUGUUUCAUCUUAAUCUGAAAUGAAGGUAUGUCUCAGACAACGAGAAUCAGCUAAAGUUGCAGAUCAAUGCUGUAAACUGCUUGCAUUGCAAGGCUUGUGACAUCAAGGACCCAAAGCAAAAUAUAGAAUGGACAGUGCCAGAGGGAGGUGGUGGUCCAGGCUACUAAGUUAUGUAAAUAUAUAUAGCAACUGACUGCCUAUUUCAUUGUGAAGGCAAAUGGAAAAAGAGUUUGUAUUUACAAUAAGAG